This is a long non-coding RNA of Corapipo altera (White-ruffed manakin), 315 nucleotides long. RefSeq lists it as uncharacterized. NCBI's taxonomy places the organism in Eukaryota, Metazoa, Chordata, Aves, Passeriformes, Pipridae. The transcript is spliced from 2 exons. The record is from RefSeq and is a predicted model, not a curated record.
CCCAUUUUUGCCCCAUUUUUGCCCCAAUUUUGGGUGACUUUCCUUCCCUCCCCCCCCCAGCGGGUCCUUCUGGGCACCCACGUGCUCCUGAUGACGUCAUCGGCGGCGGGGGCGGGGCUCUCCGUGAUUGGUGCGAUCGCCGCCAGCAGGGCCCGCCCCAAACGGAUCCAGCCACCCGUGGUGAUUUACCAGACGGCCCUGGGGGCGGGGCCUGGAGAAGCCACGCCCACCGGCAACCCCGCCCCUCAAUAAGGACCAAUCAGGGACGAGGGGGCGUGUCUGGCUCCGCCCCCUCUUAGAAUAAUAAUGGAAAUA